GAUGGUAGUGUAUUGGACUACCAUGGCUUUAACGGGUAACGGAGGAUUAGGGUUCGAUUCCGGAGAGGGAGCCUGAGAAACGGCUACCACAUCUAAGGAAGGCAGCAGGCGCGUAAAUUACCCAAUCCUGACUCAGGGAGGUAGUGACAAGAAAUAACGGACCGAAGCCUAUGUUUCGGGAUUGCAAUGAGUAGAAUUUAAACCCCUUUACGUGGAUCAAUUGGAGGGCAAGUCUGGUGCCAGCAGCCGCGGUAAUA
This 257-nucleotide ribosomal RNA is filed under the name uncultured eukaryote. RNAcentral describes it as "partial 18S rRNA". It matches the Rfam family "Eukaryotic small subunit ribosomal RNA", at positions 324 to 584 of the family's 1831-position model. The record is from RNAcentral.